RNAcentral lists this ribosomal RNA (864 nucleotides) under Bacillus zhangzhouensis. RNAcentral describes it as "bacterial SSU rRNA". It matches the Rfam family "Bacterial small subunit ribosomal RNA", at positions 60 to 898 of the family's 1533-position model. Lineage: Bacteria; Bacillati; Bacillota; Bacilli; Caryophanales; Bacillaceae. The record is from RNAcentral.
AGUCGAGCGAACAGAAGGGAGCUUGCUCCCGGAUGUUAGCGGCGGACGGGUGAGUAACACGUGGGUAACCUGCCUGUAAGACUGGGAUAACUCCGGGAAACCGGAGCUAAUACCGGAUAGUUCCUUGAACCGCAUGGUUCAAGGAUGAAAGACGGUUUCGGCUGUCACUUACAGAUGGACCCGCGGCGCAUUAGCUAGUUGGUGGGGUAAUGGCUCACCAAGGCGACGAUGCGUAGCCGACCUGAGAGGGUGAUCGGCCACACUGGGACUGAGACACGGCCCAGACUCCUACGGGAGGCAGCAGUAGGGAAUCUUCCGCAAUGGACGAAAGUCUGACGGAGCAACGCCGCGUGAGUGAUGAAGGUUUUCGGAUCGUAAAGCUCUGUUGUUAGGGAAGAACAAGUGCGAGAGUAACUGCUCGCACCUUGACGGUACCUAACCAGAAAGCCACGGCUAACUACGUGCCAGCAGCCGCGGUAAUACGUAGGUGGCAAGCGUUGUCCGGAAUUAUUGGGCGUAAAGGGCUCGCAGGCGGUUUCUUAAGUCUGAUGUGAAAGCCCCCGGCUCAACCGGGGAGGGUCAUUGGAAACUGGGAAACUUGAGUGCAGAAGAGGAGAGUGGAAUUCCACGUGUAGCGGUGAAAUGCGUAGAGAUGUGGAGGAACACCAGUGGCGAAAGGCGACUCUCUGGUCUGUAACUGACGCUGAGGAGCGAAAAGCGUGGGGGAGCGAACAGGAUUAGAUACCCUGGUAGUCCACGCCGUAAAACGAUGAGUGCUAAGUGUUUAGGGGGGUUUCCGCCCCCUUAGUGCUGCAGCUAACGCAUUAAGCACUCCGCCUGGGGGAGUACGGUCGCAAGACUGAA